This 2033-nucleotide long non-coding RNA is filed under the name Carica papaya (papaya). RNAcentral describes it as "long non-coding RNA (CPAP_LNC016669)". The record is from RNAcentral. Lineage: Eukaryota; Viridiplantae; Streptophyta; Magnoliopsida; Brassicales; Caricaceae.
UACACUUCUAAUGAAUUUUUUUUUUUUUUUUUUUAAAGAAUAAUGAAUUGGAAUCUAAUUGAAUUAUACUUUUCCAACUCCAAUAAUCUAUUGGGUUCGACUUUGGAGUUUUCUCUCAAACAGACUACUGUUGGGGCAGUAAAUACAUUUUUCAAGUUUCUAUCAUUCUCUCGCGAUAACUAGCUCUGAUGCACAGAGCAAUAACUUCAAAACCCAGGAACAAAUCAGUCGAAAUAUACCUAAAAGCAAGAAUAAGAGCAGCAGUGAAAUGGGAUCGUAUUUUUCAAUGAGAUCAGUGGGCGCCGUUCUCCACAGAUUCUUCGAUGGGGUGUCCUCAAAAUGCCCCACCAAUUCGUUUUCUCCGGCAGGCACUGCUCUGCUAUAUAGGAUCCUGUUAUAGUUUCUAUCAACUCUAUCACCGCAUAUAUAUCUUACGAGGUAAUAUGACUUACGAUAAUACGUUAGACAGUAUUCUUCUGAUAAAUUAUGGUGGGAUUUACGUGUGAGGUAGGUACGACUCAGAAUUUUACUUGCCCACCAAAUGUUUGAUGAAAAUCCCCAAAAAAGUUGUUCCAAUAUCAAUGGGUCUAUGCCGUGUUUCUUUUAGGCGUAGAAUAGGCUUUGAAGAGAAUAAAAUAGUUGAUGUCAUCCUUGUUGUUCAGCAUGUAGUAUUCUGUCAACUGAGGUGCUCUGUAAUUUGCUUUUGUUUCUUCUUUCCAAAUCAACGAGAACAUAGCAUUUUCUGCAUUUUUCUUAUGUAGUAUGGGGUGCUUAUAUCCAAAUUACUUAAACUUGAUGAUGUUGAUGCCAUAUACACAGACCAGAAAUGAUAAAAAUUCAUGUCUCCUGUUCCUCCUUUGGCAAUUCAAUUGAGUAAUGGAACUGUCAAAUAUAGCUGACUCCAUUAAAAAAAUUUUGCUGUGGCCUUGCAAGCAAAACAGAAAGAUCGUUUAUUGUUGCUCCGGUCAGCUGGGUCUUAGGCGGCAGCUUUUUAUCUUUUCAACUACUUUUUUAUAUUCCCAAUUUUUAUAUUUUUCUUAGUUUUGAAGUUGAUGGAAGAUUUAUCUCUUGCUGCUAAUAGUUGAGAAAGCUAUUUGUUCUUGUUUACUGGUCUUCUUGUGGUAAUUUGUUUUGGGAAAGUUUAUUUAUGGCAUACAACAAAUGAAUGUUGUAAAAUAUCCGAAACCUAUAUGAAACAUGGUUUCUAGUUAAUAGUUGAACAUGCGUCUCAAGAAGGUGAUCGACGAAAGUGCUGCAAUCUUUUGGACUGAAUUCUUAUCAUGAACACUAUUAAAGGUUUAGGUUGUUUUUUCUUCAGGCAUUCAGUUGCAUAUUUAACAUCCUAUUGGGAAGCACAUAAUUGAAAGACACUGAUAAAUCUUAAUCAAAAGACUGCCAAACUAGUAAGUUCUUGAUCGGACACAAAAAUUUUACCUAUUUUUCACCGUACAGUUGCUAUACAUCGUGGUGAUUAAUAUUCUAGAUAUACGCAAAAAUCAAGCAGGCAAAUGACCUGCAUGUUUGGAACUUUUAUCAAUAUAUAUGUAUAGAUGUGUCGGUGUAGCUCUUGAUUAUGAUGAAACUAUUUGAUUUUAGUGAUCUAUUUCUUAGGAACCCAGCAGCCAUGCAAGCCAUAUGGUAGGCCGUAAGGGAAUUUUGCUCUUGCAAGUUCUUCAAAGCUGGAUCCAUCUAGUAGCAAUGCAUAGCCUCCGCCAUUAUUUUGACUUACCAUGGAGAUCACCACGCCUGCAGCAACAGACAAAUGCCAAAAUUUGAUGACUCAAUUUGUUUUGGUUAAUUAUAAGUGUAUGCAUUUUGUGAAUUAUUAAUCAUUGUGGUAUAGACGUUUUACACACUCUCAACAGACAUGAACUCACCAUCAUCUUCCUCUGUUGCGCCAGGUCGACUCACAAACAAUGGUUCGGAGGGAAUUGCACCCUCCUCGUACCAAUUAUUGGCCUUUUUCUGUACUAAAUCAAGCUGCAGCAUGUAUAUAAUAUACUAUUAUUAAUGAUUAACAUCACAAUCAGCAU